UACAGAGGGUGCAAACGUUGCUCGGAAUGAUUGGGCGUAAAGCGCGUGUAGGCGGCCGUUUAUGCCGGUUGUGAAAGCCCGUGGCUCAACCACGGAAGUGCAGUCGGAACUGAACGGCUAGAGUACCGAAGAGGGUGGCGGAAUGCCCAGUGUAGAGGUGAAAUUCGUAGAUAUUCGCAAGAACACCAGUGGCGAAGGCGGCUCACUGGCCCGGUACUGACGCUGAGGUGCGAAAGCGUGGGGAGCAAACAGG
Molecule: ribosomal RNA, 253 nt
Filed under: uncultured bacterium
Lineage: Bacteria
Description: partial 16S ribosomal RNA
Rfam family: Bacterial small subunit ribosomal RNA
Source: RNAcentral